GCAUACUCGCUUGUUUUGGGGAAGGAAACACACAGGCUUUAGAAGAGCAAGGCAGGAAAGGCCCUUCCAACAAGAAGUAGCUGGGCGGUCCGCGGUGUGGCAGUUCACCUUCACCUCACUGACCUCUGCUUCUUUCCACAGUCUUGACGGUACACCGAGCUCUGAGCAAUGAGCACCACGGAGCUGUUGCGGCCCCGGGAGGAGCUGAGAACGCGUGGGAGGUGUGUGUGAACGUGCAACGGAAUGAACGAAGCUCACAGAAGGAAGCGAGGCACAGAAGGGCACUUACGAGCACGCACACCAGAUGCACCUGCCGGCUAGCUCAUGUGGAAAGAGGUCCUUAGCCUCCGGGACGGAUGCCACGCCACUUGUGGGUCAAAGUCCAUCCGGGCUGAAGCCUGGGCAAGCUGCCCGAACCUUCCCCUCUCACUGAUCUAUCCUGCCCCAAUGCACACCCUGGAAAUUCUUGCAGCAGGCCACGGGUAUGAAAGAAGAGAGACUCAACAAAGUUAAAUUCCAGUGUGCGGCCCCAUGGGCUGAGACGUGUCACCCCUGUGAUUGUAAUGACACAACUGGAACCCUGGGUGCCAAGGCGAGAAGAGUUCAAAGCCCAUGGUGAUGUUAUCGCAUCUCAAGGAAGCACGUUAUUAUUCUUAUUAUUCCCGUCUACAGAUGAAAGGUGCACUGGGGAGACAGGUGGGCUGGCUUGUUCAAAGUCCCAGCUGGUGGGUGAAAGGCUGGGGAAGCAAAUUUGAAUGGGCAUUUCUCCUUCCUGGUGAUUAAGCUGCCUCUUGUGUUCCACGUUAAUUGGUCAUUAUGAAAAUAGUUGCGAGAUAAGAGGACCUACCUUCCAAAGCUUCUGUGGGCUCAGCUGACAAUGAAUAAGUAUGUCUAGGAAAGUAGAUACAUGUUUGUCUUUCUAUGUGAUCUGACCUGAGCAAGAGCCCAGCAGGCAGAAUUCAUUUACCAUUGAAACUUUACUCUGUCCUGGCUUCAGCUAGUCGAUAAAGGAGUAAUAUUUUGGGGUGGGGGUGGGGGUUGCUGUUUAGCCUGGGUUUUCCAACACAAUUUUCUCAGAAAUUUAGAGGUCACCUUAAUAGUGGUGAUGAUUCUGGGGCAUCUGGGUGGCUCAGUGGGUUAAAGUCUCUGCCUUCAGCUCAGGUCAUGAUCCCAGGGUCCUGGG
Molecule: long non-coding RNA, 1183 nt
Organism: Mustela erminea (ermine)
Lineage: Eukaryota; Metazoa; Chordata; Mammalia; Carnivora; Mustelidae
Exons: 4
Source: RefSeq, a predicted model, not a curated record